Molecule: transfer RNA, 27 nt
Filed under: Lepilemur aeeclis
Lineage: Eukaryota; Metazoa; Chordata; Mammalia; Primates; Lepilemuridae
Description: partial tRNA-Gly
Source: RNAcentral
AGCUUCGGUGCAACCCGAAAAAGAAUA